RNAcentral lists this long non-coding RNA (10381 nucleotides) under Homo sapiens (human). RNAcentral describes it as "HSALNT0011180". Lineage: Eukaryota; Metazoa; Chordata; Mammalia; Primates; Hominidae. The record is from RNAcentral.
AAGACAUCUCAUCAGGAUGAACUGGGGCAAGGCAGCCUCCAGAAACACACCUGGGUCUCUGGGCAGUCAUCUGCAGGCGAUUGCCUCCAGGUGUUUGCCAGUGGGAACCCAUUGAAAGUCGAUGCAAUUUAGAGCAAUUUCUCUGGCAGUGGAAAUUAACCUGCAGGAAUCUGCCGGCAACAGGUGUAUUUUAGGGCAGACAUACCAGCGUCCUGCACUGUGGAGACAGGACUUUGACUACCAGGUGUAGUGCAGAAGGCUGGAUAAUUGGAGGAGGCAGAAAAUUAGUGCAGAGAAGAUGGCCAAAUUGCAGGUCAGCAUGGUUUGGUGUAAUUAUUGGUUAACCCUCUCCUGUCUGUUAACCAAAAACUACUUGUGUGUUUGAGGAACCAGGAAAUCUGCACUGAAGGGACAAGAAUUAUCACUCCCUGCCCAAGCCAACUGAAUUUUUUGAUAGCUAAGGUUUUCAGCAAAUUGUUUUUGGUUUAGUGUUUGAUACUCAGACGAUUGCCAGGAAAACACAGGAAGAAGUGAAUUUUAAGUGCUUGAAAGCCUCCUGACUCAGAAACAAACCUAAUUUUACCUAGUGUGUUUGCCACUUUUUAUCUCUUUUGAAAAGACUUAUAGGGAGGAAUGUACAUAAUCAGGAAAGGGCAUCUAUGCUCUGUACCUCCGAUUCUCCUUGACAGAUGCAAAAAGCUAAUUGGUAUUAGCAAAUGUGCCCAUUGAAAGCAAGCAUAUUUUAGUAACACAAGUGUACACUGUAGUGAUGGUUUGGUUAUGCUAAGUAGAAGAUACAGAUUUGUAAUGCCUAAAUUCUCACACUUCUAAUCCUACAGUCCAAUUAUUCUGGCAUUUGCUACAAUGUGCUCUGAAGAAAUGGAUUGGAAAUAAACAAAUAAAUAAAUAAAUAAAUAAUUCCACAGGAGGAAAAAAAUGCGUUCUGAAAGGAUCAGGAUUUUCAAAGCCCCCAAGCUUCAACAUAUCCGAGGAUCGAAGGCCUGAAUAAAGUGGCAUCACAGAAGUGUGAGAACAGCCUUUCCCCAUUCUCCGGAGUGGAUCCAUGAGCCAGGAGUCAGGCCUGCACUUUGAGGAGCGGAAGUGCUUUUGUGAGGACAAGCAAGAAUGUCUUGUAAUUUCAACUACCCUUAAAGCUGUUUCAGGGUUCCCUGAUAAUGAACUAACUGAUACUGGGACUUCCCUUCUCCAUCCCCCAAAGAAAAGCUGCGUUCCAACUCAACACCUCAUAGAACCAGAGCCCCCUAAUAUCCCUAGGUGUGGGCAGCUGGCAUUCCCCAACAUUCCCCUAACACCCAGCACCUAAGCUAAGAAUGCUUGGGGCCUGAACCCCAAAUGUUUAUUCAGCCAUGUAAAGCCACUUGCACACUUGUCCUAUAAAAAAGGAAAGCAACAGAAUGUUUUUCUCCUCUUGGAGCAGAGCCCCACAGUGAAUCUAGCAAUGCACUGGCUCAAACAUGCCCCCUUUUCAGCAGCAUGCUGAAAGAAAUAGGAUCCAUGCGUCAGCUGGAAUUUCUAUCUCUGAGUUUCUACCUAAACUAAGUGAUACUUUCUGUUAUUCCCAGUCACAUCAAAACAAAUGUGAGAUUCAAAUUUUAAACUGGGCUAUACUGUAACAAAUUAGACUUGACUCUUUUUGUUUUGUUUUGUUUAAAUAACAGAAAGUGACUAGAAAACUAUAGGAUCCACCUAAGAUGCUAAGACAUGGCAAAGUGAGACCAAACAUAGCACAACAAAUAGUUGGAGACAAAAUAAAAGCAUUUUACAUUUGUGCACUACAAUGUUCAGGCUAUUCAACACACUGAUUUCACACAUACAGUCCCAUUUAUUGCCAACAAUAACCCUGCAAAGUAGGUACUAUUAUUGGGCACAUUUUACAUAUAAAACGACUUAAAAUUAGAGGAGGUAGUAUAUAUUUUCCUAAUUUUUGGCAGCCCAGCAUCUAAAGCCCUUUUCUAUGCUUGAAGAAUGCCCUGCCUUAUGAGUGAGUCUUGCUGGAAAGAAGAGACCAGCUUCCAAUAUAAAAACUGAAAAUACCAAAUACUUUUCCCAUAUUCCCUGAUAACUAUCACACUGACAUUAGAAGAGUCUCCACCAACAGAUGUGAGCAUGCCAGUUUUCCCCAGAAUCUAAAGAUACAAAGAAAGAGGAUUUUUGUGGGAAACCACUCUGGUGAAAAUGCCAGUGGAAGUCCUACACUGAACCCGAUUUCCAGUGGCAAGAAUUUUAGUGGCUCCAGCAGCGAUGCCCAGUGCUCCGUGACUAUGGGUUCACAAUGUACACAAACUGGUUGGGCCACUGCAGAUGAAAGAGAUGGCUUCAAGUGCUCAGUUAUGUGUCUUGAUUGGUAAUGUGGCCAUUGGCUGGGUAAUGUCCACACUGCUUCUCUGGCCCUUUUGAAGUGUCUGUUAGCCAUAAUAACUAGAUUUAUUUUCUGAUUAAAUUAGCUAGAAUUAGGUUCUGACUGACUUAGGAUAAGUAAUUGCUCUCUGAUCACACAUAGAGCAAAUGAUGGAGCUGGAAUUCCAGUCUUCACUAGGUUAUACUGAAUGAUGAGAUAAUGUUAUGGGCUGAAUUCAUGUGUUGAAGUCCUCAUCUCCAGAACCUCAGAAUGUCUGUAUUUGGAGAAGAGUUUUUAAUGUUGUAAUUCAGUGAAAGUGAGGUCAGUAGGGUGGCUAUAAUUCAAUAUGACCUGAAUCCUUACGAGAAUGAAAAUCUGGACACAGAAAUCCGUGUGGGAGGCCAUGUGAAGACACGGAGAAAGCAUCCAUCUGUGAGCCAAAGAGAGAGGCCUCAGAAGAAACCACCCCUGCAGACACCUUGUAAUUGGACGUCUAGCCUUCAGAACUGUGAAACAGGAAAUUUCUGUUAUUUAAGCCACCCAGUCUAUGGUACUUUGUUAUGGCAGUCCUAAUAAACUAAUACCAGGAAUGAGGAAUACGAAAGAAUUCAAGAUGAUCUCAAAGUUGCUCAAUGAGGUGACUUUAGAAAAGAUGAAGGGUAUGAGAGGAGUAGCCAUUGCAGAAGGAGAACAAGAUCAUGAAUUCAAUUCAGAAAACUUUGAUUUUGAGACCUCUGCAGGAGAAAAUAAGAGAAAGCUUCAAAGGCCUAGCUUCCUUUAUAGAGUCCUGGGAGAGACCUAAAGUUGAGGAAUAGAGAGAAAAGGCACCUCUGGAUACUCACUGGCAUUGGAUCCAGCUCUGAGUUGCUUGCUUUCUGGGCUUCAGAAUGACAAAGCAGGUUUAUGCACAGAGUUUUUCAAUAAGCAAGUCCCCACUGAAGGUCACAGGCCUAUUUCAGCAGUGGGAGAAACCACAGUCAGCAGUAUUGGGCCAUGCAAGUGAAGGGUUGUUCACUGGAGAGGUUUGUUACCUUAUUGGGAAGAUGAAGUUUUCAUCCAGCAUUAAGCCUAUGGCUAUAAUUCAGGGAUGAGACAAGGGUGUUUGCAUUUGUUAGCAUGAAGACAAACAAAUCCAACACCCUUAGGUCAGAAUUUCAGCUUAACAUGGUAUCUUGUGCUUGAAUAUCCCUUGCAACCUCUCCUGACUUUCCACUUUCCAAAGUGAGUCUUUUAAAAUGCUCACGUUUUGGCUCACACCUGUAAUCCCAGCACUUUGGGAGGCCGAGGCGGGCGGAUCACGAGAUCAGGAGAUCAAGACCACGGUGAAACCCCGUCUCUACUAAAAUACAAAAAAUUAACCGGGCGUGGUGGUGGGCUCCUGUAGUCCCAGCUACUCGGGAGGCUGAGGCAGGAGAAUGACGUGAACCCCGAAGGCGGAGCUUGCAGUGAGCCGAGAUUUCGCCACUGCACUCCAGCCUGGGCGACACUGCGAGACUCCGUCUCAAAAAAAAAAAAAAAAAAAAAAAAAAAAAGGCCACGUUUAUUGGUCUUAUGCCUAUAAAAAAAGUCUAUGUGGACAACCACUCAUUGAUUCAAUAAAUAAUGCUUAAGUGCUUACUCUGUGCCAGGAUUCUGAAAGGCACUGUGGGUAAAUGGUAGGCAAAUCUAAACCUGGUCCUGCCUUCAGAGAGUCUACUGUUUGAACGGAAAAAGAAGAGAAUGAGGCCAAACAAGAGGUUGUUCACCUGAGGAAAUGGAUGGGAGCUGGGCAAGCCUACCUGGCAGAGGCUCACCUGGCUGAGUACCUAUGAAAUUGCCAUGGAUGAUCUCAAAAUUCAAAGAAAAGUCCAGUGCAUAUAAAUAAAAACCUUGAAAACACAAAUUCAUAGGCAAAAGGCUGAGAGGCCACAUAAAUUACUUUUAGUGAAAACAACAAAUAAUAUUAGUAUUAUUUCUGUUUCAGUAUUCAAGGCAGUGGUGAUGGGAACUUGAGGGCAUGAGAAUCAGGGCAAAGAGAAUUACUGAAAGAGUAAAACUAUCUUAAAGAUGUGAGGUUGGCCACUGAUGGAGAGGACAAGCAGGACAGGGAUCGGGGGACCAAAGUCCAGCUGCACUGACUCCAUUCAGCUCUGCUCUGUUCACCCUCAUCCCAAACCUGUCCCCAUCCCCAGACAAAUAGAAGCUGUGGACAAAGAUUGUUUUUGCCCUCCACAUCUCCAAUACUCUGUUUUCAAAUGACUGCAACCAACCCAACAAAAGAACUCACUUAACAUAUUAGUAGUAUCUUAAAUGAUGCAAUUUUAUCUUGUCCAUGAAAUAGCUUCAAUUAAAACAAAUUAUCUCUUUCCAUUCAUAGCUUAAUUCAUAUAGCACAUCUGAUAGAGCCUUUUUAAAUGCUCACUUUUAUUGGUCUUAUUUCAAAAUUAAUUCAUGUUUAUAGUCUAGCAUUUAGAAAAUUCCAAGGCAAAGCAGGCUACAUUUGUGUGUUUCCUCUUGGUGUCUCCAGUGCCCCAUGCCGCCACUGCACAGAGGACAUUAAGCAUUGAACACAGAGAACUAAACCACUUAAGGAACCACCCAUAAUCUCAAUACCAAUAGAUACUUACCCUCACUUUUUUGAUAUGUUUUUUCCAGUCACUUGUGUAUGUAAGCAUACAUACAAAAACAGGUGUGUGUGUGUGUGUAAAAAUGUGUGUUUACAGAGUUCGUUUUACAGGAAAGCACAAAGUCAGAUAGUUGUUAUCGGGCACCUAUGGGAAAUGUCAUAGGAGACUAAAGAUGAGACGAAAACUUUGGGACCACCACUCUUAAUCAUCCUAAUACUUGAUCUUUCCAUGGCUACCCUGAGAUAGAAUAAAUGGCUUUUGUAAAACAACUUAAACCUCAUCUCCUUAAUUGAGGUAUCCUGCUUUCUUACUCUUAUUUACGUGUCUAAGUCAGGGAGAAACAUCCCAUUAUGUCACAAAUAAGAUUAAAGGUAGUUGUAAUUAAAUUUCACCAUGUGCCCUGAGUUUUCCCACCUGAGAAUUAUAAGAAAAAAAUCAAAAGGUCUUCUCCUCUUACUAGACUACCCACCAAAUGGUCAUUACAUUUUCCUGUAGGCUGCAGAUAAAAUCUCUCUAUCAUAAGUCUCCCAAUCACCAAGUGAGAAAACACCACUCUGGGGUCCAGGGAUGUGUAGGCAAUUGAAGAGUUUCUCUUUUAAGAAUGGCAGCUCAUUAGGGUAAGUGUCCAAGAACAUAAUGAAAAAAUUGUGGUAUAUUUAUACUGGGGGAUAUGCCAGAUUAAAAAACGAACACAUUUGAGUUACAGAUAGCAACAUGGAUAAAUCUCUAAUGCAGAAUUUUAAUAAGAAAAAGGCAUAUUGCAGAAUUAUAGGUGCAGUAUAAUACCAUGUAUAUAAAGUUUAAACACAAAAACAUGCUAUAUAUCUUUUAUGGAUAUAUCCUUGUGCAGUAAAAAAUAUAAAAUAUGCAUAAGAAUGACAAAGACAAAUUUUAGAGGAUUUAUUCCCUUAGGGAGAAAAGGAAACGGCAUCACAAGGAUUACAAGAUUUGAAUUGAAUCUACAAUAUUUUAUUCCUUAAGCUGAGUAGCGGGUACAUGGGUGUUCAUAUACUCAAAACCAUUUUUGGCACAUGAAAUAUUUUAAAAUUUUUUAAAAAGCUAGAUAGUAUGAUUGACAUCUUCAGAUACUUGAAGAUCUGGCAUGUUGAUGAUGGAAAGUAUCCUAUGACUAAGUAGGUAAAGCUAUUAUGAAGGCAAAUUUUAGGUCAUUCUUAGGAAAAACCUAAAAGGGCUGUCUAAAAAUGAACAGUGUCUUCUACAUGAUUAAGGAGUAAAACAGAGUUAAGGUCUUCGGAGGUAGCAAGUCACAGUGCAAGUAGAGUUCACUUGUCUUUGUCUUGAAAGCAAAGAUUUCUUUUCUCUUGCAAAAUUCCCGGGACAUAUCCUGAUAAAGCUUUACAUCUCAGCAGCAUCACUCUGAUUGCUCUUUUUUCAGUUGGUGUCAUUGGAAGCCCCUAAACCCUAUUUAACUUCAGUGCCAUUGACUGGCACUUCCUGCCACUUACAUCUUUGCCAUUUGGCAGUGCCUGGGUUGGACAGAUCUGCCACCUGGUUCUGGUUCUGCAUUAUUGUCAUUCCUUGUGCCAGUCAUAAGGAUUCACUGGCACCCCUCUGAGAUUAGGAGUUCUCCAGGUCUGGAGAUAUUAAAAAAGAGAGAGAUGGUCAGCGAUGCUAUAGAAGGGAUUUUAGUAGUCUCUGGUAUGCUGGAGCACAUAACCUUUGAGUAUGGAUUUCCAUAUUCAUUUAUUCAAGAAAUGUUUAGUGAGUGUUUACUUUGUGCAAAGCACCUUGCUCGUUAAGCUUCUAUGGCUCUAGAAUUUGUCUUUGAAAAUGCGUCUCUAACUUUACAGAAAUGAAAAUUGAGACAUGAUGGGAAAACUUAUUUUAAGCAAACAAUAAGGCAGGCAGGCAGGCUGUGGUUUGCAGACCGACCACUUCUAGCCUUAUUGCCAAGAGCACUACGAGAGUCACAGGAACAUUUUGGAGAUAAUGUUACAUUCACAGACUUGUACAUGUCUUACAGUGAAAGACACCCCAGAGGUUAUCCAAUUCAAAUACUUCAUUUUACAGACGAGGAAACAAAAGCCUGGGGAGGUAUGUGGCUAACUGAUUGCAGAAUCUAUUCUCAGAUAUGGUAUUUCCUUCCCAACCUUGAAAGUUGUGUUCCUGAAAACCUCCAUGGAAGGAGAAAUUACACUUGAGGAACUUACGACCUUAGGAAGAAAAUAGAGUUUGGGGAGUAAGAUAGUGAGUGAAUCUGAGAAAGUUAUCAUCAUUGUUUUAUAUCUACUAAUAAAACAAUGUAGGUACCAUUGAUACCCACUUUAUUUUAUGCCGAACGCAUUUGUAAUGGUGAAUCUUGUACAGGUGAUUUUAUUUACUUCUUAGAAUUCCUUAUUAACACUUCUCUAGGCUCUCUAUACACAAUUUUUGUAAAACUUCUUGUGAGUCAUUGCCUUUUUGUGUAAAUACUGGUUACAAUGGAUUGUUUUCUGUUUCAGGUCCUGUUGUCUCUGCCUUUUUGCAUCUUUGACAUUAUCAUUGUAACUUAUAACUUCUAACCUCUACUCUGACUCAACUUGGUUGUUUCCUGAUUCCUCUCUCUCCUUCUUGCUGUUCCUUCUCUCUGCUGUCCUUUAACUGUAGCUGCUCACCAGGACUAUGCUGUAAACUUUCACCUCCUCUCACUGUUUACUCUACCUAUGUAACUAUCAUGUUUGAUAAUGAGGUCCUGCUGAAUAAGCCUGUUUGCUGUCUUUCCAGGCUGUGCUUUCCCACUCCUGCAGCUACUGCCUUAAUUCAGGUUAUCACUGUCUCUCACUAGGACCCCUGCACUAAUCUCCUUGAUUGGUCAAAGGUUUCAUUAUUUGCAUUGUGCUCUGAGUGAAAUUUUCUUAUGACGGCUUACAGUUCCCAGUGGCUGCAUGUGCCUAUAGAACACUAACUUCCUAAGCAUUUCAUCCAAGGCCCUCCACCUUAGCUCUUGUACCCUUUACUCCAGCCAUAUUUAUUGACCCUACUUGAUGGCCUAAUGUACCAGACUAUUUGGCAUCUUCAUGCCUUUGUGAACUGACUUUUCUUCAUCAGGAAUGCCCUUCACUCUGCCCCUCUCACGCUACCCAUUUCCCCUCCCACGUGCAAUCACCUGCCUGGUGAACAUCUACUCUUCCUCGAAAACUUUGCUCAUACCAUCACCUCUCCCUUGGAGGUACCACUUCCUACUCCUACUUUCUGCUCAUCUCGUACCUCAUUAAAGAGAAUAGGAGGUUCCCACCACAAAAUCUGAAAGCCUCCUGCCACAAAACCUGUCUUCUUCCCUCUGUGCAACUGAAUGUGACUCCUUGUAAUCAAAUGCUCAUCCCUCAAUUCAUGUUGGGAAUCCCAUCUCUCUCACUUUCUCAAGAAGUUCAAUGCUUCUGUCAGACUGUCUCCAGUCAAUUAUUCCCAUCAGCAUAUAAACAUAAUCCAGUAUUACUGUCCUAACCAAUACUCCAUAUUGAUCCACAUCCCUUUCCAGCUACCAUUCUUUUCUGUCUUUCACAAUAAAAUUCCAUAAAAUAGUUGUGUACACACAGCACUUUUAUGUUUUCACUUCACAGUCACUUUGGAAUUCACUUCAAAUUGGCAUUCACCCACAUGACCCAGUUGGUCACUAAUGACCUUUAUAGUGCUAUGUCCACAUUUUCAUCUCACUAGAACUUUCAGCAACAUCCAACAAUUGACCAUUCUCUUCUCAAAAUUGGCCAUUCUCUUCUUGAAAUUGUUCUUGGCUUACAUGAUUCCAUAUUUCCCUGGUCUUUUAUCUGCUUCUCUACCUGCUCCUCCUAAGCCUCUGUUGUGUCUUUUCUUCCACUUUCUAUAAUACCUCUAAGUAUUGAAUUUCCUCAGUAUUCUGCUCUGAACCCCAUGCCUUAUGUUUCCAUAAAUAAUCUCAUUCAUCCUCAUGGCUUAAAAUACCAAUUCCAAGCCAAUGACUCCUAUGUCUGUAUCUCUAGUCCUAACCUCUCCUCUGACCUCCUGACUUAUACUCUUGUCUUUAUAACACCCACUUAUGAAUGCUUCAUGGACAUCUCACAUAAAUAUAUCCAAGACUGCAUUUUUAUUUCCCUCUGAAAACCUAGUCCUCCUUCCAUCCUCCCCACCUCCCUUUUUUGGCAACAUUAUCCACGCUGUUGAUCAGGUCUGGAUCCUGGGAGUCACUAAUUAUUUCUCCCUGUAUUUCUUCCUCUAGUCCAAUUCGUCACUAAGUCUGAUCAUCUGUCUCCUAAAUGCAGCAUAAGGAGAUCCACUUUUCUUUAUCGUUACUGCCACAUUGUAGUUUGAUCUACUAUUAUUUUAAACUUAACAACCACAAUACCUUCAAACUGAUCUCCAUGCACACAGAACACAGUGACUCUCAUCCUUAAUUGAAUCUCUACACAGCCACAGAAACAGUCUUUCUUGAAACAUAAAUCCCAGCAUGACACUGCCUGACAUGCAAUCUCUCUUUGCACUUUGUCUUAGUCCAGGUACAUCAGUGUUGCUAUAAGUCCUGUUGGUCAGCCUCCUGCCCCGUACCCUAAGCUCAUCUUACAUCAGCGAGUCCUCACUCUCCACUCUCUAGACUGACUCCUGAUGUUUUCUCAAGCAAGUUGAUUUCUUUCUCAUCUUAAUCCUUCACAGGUGGUACAUAGUGCUUCCCGAGUUUAGAUCUCCACUCUCCCUUAUGUUCUCAUAAAGGAUUCAUAUGUCCUUUAGGUCUUGGCUUAAAUGCCAUCUAUUCAGAGAAGCCUUCCCUGGCGACCUUAUCUGAGUCAAUCUUCCAUUGUUAUAUUGUUAUAUUGAUUUGCUUUGUUUCUUGCUACUUCUUCUACUUGACUCGGUAGAAGGCUCUGCAUAAUUGACCAAAAUAUAUACAGUGUUUUUCAGAGUGCUAGUCACCUAUUAGUACUGAAGAAUUAUUUGUUGAAUAACUUAAUGAUUUUUUUGCAGUUACACGAGUGUUGUUUUGAUUGACUGAAAAUAGAUUGCCUAAGAUGACAUGAAAGAUCAAAGGUGAAGAGUGGAAGAUAGCACCACUUUGGGUUAAAAGUUUACUUAAGUCAGCAACUCCUCAAGAAACAGCUACCAGCAUUCCUGGGACUAUUAUGCCCUGGUCUACUUGUAGCCUGUUUGUAUUCCAGCCUACUUUGGCACCUUGCCGUCUCUGCUUACCGACUUUCUGCAUAAGAGUGAAAUAGAAAGUGACUUGGAACCAUGUAUACCUAAAGUGUGACAUUUAAAAAAACGUCCUCAGAAAAACUAAUAUCCUGGUUAUUUUUGAAUGUGCUAAGAGACUCUUUUUUUUAAUCUUGUUUUUUUAUUUUGAAUAUAGAGCACAUUGAGGUUUAAAAUGGAAAAUUCUAUUAAAAAUAAAAGGCAUACGUUUACAUAUCUUACAAUUACCUCUGCUUCUGUCCCUCCCAUUCCUUAUGAG